GAAAAACUCUUUAUAAUAAACUCAGGCGCGCGUUUAUGACGUCAUGGGUUUAUAAAAGGCGCGGGCUUUCUUCGUCACGUCCUCUUUCCGUUGCUCUUCUCGUCCAGAGAAAACUCUCCACAGGAUGAGAGCCAAGUGGAGGAAGAAGCGUAUGCGCAGGCUGAAGCGUAAAAGGAGAAAGAUGAGGCAGAGGUCAAAGUAAGCUCUCCAUCUCCACCAGCUGCUGUCCCAUCGCCGCCUUGGGGUGACGGAUGAUCAGAGUGGACUCCCUCAAGUGUCCAUUGAUGAAAUGAAGAACCUCGUCCGUCUGAAUGAACUUCAGAAGAACCUGAUGUGGAUGUCUUGAGUUGAAGAAGGCAAAGAUGCUGGAAGAGGACGAAACAUCAAGUCUGCAGCUGCACCUGUUCAUGGACCAUUACACUUGUUUUCAUACAGCUGUCAUGUGGUGUACUGAACAAUAAAUGAACACUUCCAAGUUCACCGUUCA
Long non-coding RNA from Oryzias melastigma (Indian medaka), 487 nucleotides. RefSeq lists it as uncharacterized. The transcript is spliced from 4 exons. Lineage: Eukaryota; Metazoa; Chordata; Actinopteri; Beloniformes; Adrianichthyidae. The record is from RefSeq and is a predicted model, not a curated record.